Acanthosepion pharaonis is the source of this 107-nucleotide non-coding RNA. Lineage: Eukaryota; Metazoa; Mollusca; Cephalopoda; Sepiida; Sepiidae. The record is from the annotation of a GenBank genome assembly.
AUGGCCAUAUUACACUGAAAUACUGGACCCCAUAUGAUCACUGAAGUUAAGCAACAUCAUGCUUGGUUAGUACCUAGAUGGAUGACCACUUGGGAAUGUCAGGUGCU